RNAcentral lists this ribosomal RNA (322 nucleotides) under uncultured eukaryote. RNAcentral describes it as "partial 18S ribosomal RNA". It matches the Rfam family "Eukaryotic small subunit ribosomal RNA", at positions 1470 to 1796 of the family's 1831-position model. The record is from RNAcentral.
CCCUUAGAUGUCCUGGGCCGCACGCGCGCUACACUGACAUGUUCAACAAGUUUCUCCUAGUUCGACAGGACUGGGAAAUCUUUGAACGCAUGUCGUGAUAGGGAUAGAUCAUUGCAAUUAUUGAUCUUGAACGAGGAAUUCCUAGUAAACGCGAGUCAUCAGCUCGCAUUGAUUACGUCCCUGCCCUUUGUACACACCGCCCGUCGCACCUACCGAUUGAAUGUUUCGGUGAAGAUUCCAGAUAGGACUGAUUUGAUUUAUUUCAUUUCUGACCUAAAAGCUAUCUAAACCUCAACAUUUAGAGGAAGGUGAAGUCGUAACA